GAUGAAGAACGCAGCGAAAUGCGAUACGUAAUGUGAAUUGCAGAAUACAGUGAAUCAUCGAAUCUUUGAACGCACAUUGCGCCCGCCAGCACUCUGGCGGGCAUGCCUGUUCGAGCGUCAUUUCAACCAUCAAGCCCCAGGCUUGCGUUGGAGCCCUGCGGCUGCCGCAGCCUCCUAAAAGCAGUGGCGGGCUCGCUAUCACACCGAGUGCAGUAGAUUACUCUUCGCUCAGGGCGUGCAGCGGGUUCCGGCCGUGAAACCCCCUACUUUUAAAGGUUGACCUCGGAUCAGGUAGGAAUACCCGCUGAACUUAAGCAUAUCAAUAAGCGGAGGA
RNAcentral lists this unclassified non-coding RNA (334 nucleotides) under soil metagenome. RNAcentral describes it as "partial contains 5.8S ribosomal RNA, internal transcribed spacer 2, and large subunit ribosomal RNA". The stretch from base 1 to 120 matches the Rfam family "5.8S ribosomal RNA", at positions 35 to 154 of the family's 154-position model. The record is from RNAcentral.